GAUGAAGAACGUAGCAAAAUGCGAUAAGUAAUGUGAAUUGCAGAAUUCAGUGAAUCAUCGAAUCUUUGAACGCACAUUGCGCCCGUCAGUAUUCUGGCGGGCAUGCCUGUUCGAGCGUCAUUUCAACCCUCAAGCACAGCUUGGUGUUGGGACUCGCGUUAAUUCGCGUUCCCCAAAUUGAUUGGCGGUCACGUCGAGCUUCCAUAGCGUAGUAGUAAAACCCUCGUUACUGGUAAUCGUCGCGGCCACGCCGUUAAACCCCAACUUCUGAAUGUUGACCUCGGAUCAGGUAGGAAUACCCGCUGAACUUAAGCAUAUCAAUAAGCGGAGGA
Molecule: unclassified non-coding RNA, 332 nt
Filed under: soil metagenome
Description: partial contains 5.8S ribosomal RNA, internal transcribed spacer 2, and large subunit ribosomal RNA
Rfam family: 5.8S ribosomal RNA (bases 1-120)
Source: RNAcentral